CCCGCCGAGGGGCGCUGCGACCGCAUGAAGUCACCUGCGGCCAGGCUCGGCGAGGUUCCACGCAACAACGGCGCCCGUUAAUG
This 83-nucleotide non-coding RNA is filed under the name Lysobacter sp. RNAcentral's name for it is "SAH sequence". It matches the Rfam family "SAH (S-adenosyl-L-homocysteine) riboswitch aptamer". The record is from RNAcentral. RNAcentral also lists the same sequence under 1 other name. Lineage: Bacteria; Pseudomonadati; Pseudomonadota; Gammaproteobacteria; Lysobacterales; Lysobacteraceae.